UCUCUCUCUCUCUCGCUCUACAUCUCCCUUCUCUCUCUCUCUGUUCUCUCCCUCCCUCUCUCUCUCUGGUUCUUGUCUGACACAGGUCACUGAGCUCUGAGCCCGUCUGACUGUGACACAUUAACAUUGGUUCUUGUCUGACACAGGUCUGAGCUCUGAGCCCGUCUGACUGUGAUACAUUAACAUUGGUUCUUGUCUGACACAGGUCACUGAGCUCUGAGCCCGUCUGACUGUGAUACAUUAACAUUGGUUCUUGUCUGACACAGGUCACUGAGCUCUGAGCCCGUCUGACUGUGAUACAUUAACAUUGGUUAUUGUCUUACACAGGUCACUGAGCUCUGAGCCCGUCUGACUGUGAUACAUUAACAUUGGUUCUUGUCUGACACAGGUCACUGAGCUCUGAGCCCGUCUGACUGUGAUACAUUAACAUUGGUUCUUGUCUGACACAGGUCACUGAGCUCUGAGCCCGUCUGACUGUGAUACAUUAACAUUGGUUCUUGUCUGACACAGGUCACUGAGCUCUGAGCCCGUCUGACUGUGAUACAUUAACAUUGGUUCUUGUCUGACACAGGUCACUGAGCUCUGAGCCCGUCUGACUGUGAUACAUUAACAUUGGUUCUUGUCUGACACAGGUCACUGAGCUCUGAGCCCGUCUGACUGUGAUACAUUAACAUUGGUUCUUGUCUGACACAGGUCACUGAGCUCUGAGCCCGUCUGACUGUGAUACAUUAACAUUGACUGGAGGAGCAGGGAGAACACACUGACGCGUGCAUGCAUACGCCCGUGUAUACGUUAGCUCCUGUGUGUGUGUGUGUGUGUAUGUGUGUGUGUGUGUGUGUGUGUGUGUGUGUGUGUGUGUGUGUGUGUGUGUGUGUGUGUGUGUGUGUCCACUAUUCUCCACUGUGUGUAUCAGUGCCUUAGAACAGACCACGAUGCUGAUGUUGUGUAUAGGUUGGCUCCUGUGUGUGUGUGUGUGUGUGUGUGUG
Long non-coding RNA from Oncorhynchus keta (chum salmon), 986 nucleotides. RefSeq lists it as uncharacterized. Lineage: Eukaryota; Metazoa; Chordata; Actinopteri; Salmoniformes; Salmonidae. The transcript is spliced from 3 exons. The record is from RefSeq and is a predicted model, not a curated record.